AUAUUUUUAAACAAUUAUAUGCCUCGACCUUCUAUUAAAUUAAACUUGUACUAAAUCAUGUAAUACCUCUGCAACCACUUUGGAUCUUCAUAGUAAUUCAAAAUUGCCGCUAUUCGUGUGUAUUUAUGCAAUUAACAUUUUGAAGUUAUGACUCUAUGAUAUGAAACAUAGAGAUCAUACCUUAGAAGCAGAACGUAAACAAAACAAAAUAUCUAUGAAUAUGAUCUAUCUCAUCAAAAGAGGCGUGGUUUGUCAAACAGCUGUAUUUACAGGUGCAAUCUUUAGAUAAAAGAUAAAAUGUCACUCCAUUGUAGAUGU
RNAcentral lists this long non-coding RNA (318 nucleotides) under Mytilus galloprovincialis (Mediterranean mussel). The record is from RNAcentral. Lineage: Eukaryota; Metazoa; Mollusca; Bivalvia; Mytilida; Mytilidae.